RNAcentral lists this ribosomal RNA (800 nucleotides) under uncultured archaeon. RNAcentral's name for it is "bacterial SSU rRNA". It matches the Rfam family "Archaeal small subunit ribosomal RNA", at positions 29 to 830 of the family's 1478-position model. The record is from RNAcentral.
GAAAUGGGGGGGUCGAUUAGCCAUGCAAGUCGAACGAACCUUGUGUUCGUGGCGAACGGCUCAGUAACACGUGGAUAACCUGCCCUUGGGACCGGGAUAACCCCGGGAAACUGGGGAUAAACCCGGAUAGGUGAUGCUGCCUGGAAUGGUUCUUCACCGAAACACCUCCGGGUGCCCAAGGAUGGGUCUGCGGCCGAUUAGGUUGUUGGUAGGGUAACGGCCUACCAAGCCGAUCAUCGGUACGGGUGUGAGAGCAAGAGCCCGGAGAUGGAUUCUGAGACAUGAAUCCAGGCCCUACGGGGUGCAGCAGGCGCGAAAACUUUACAAUGCGGGCAACCGCGAUAAGGGGACCUCGAGUGCUGGGUUACAAACCUGGCUGUUGGGCUGCCUAAGAAGCAGUCUAUAGCAAGGGCCGGGCAAGACCGGUGCCAGCCGCCGCGGUAACACCGGCGGCUCGAGUGGUAACCGCUAUUAUUGGGUCUAAAGGGUCUGUAGCCGGCCGACUAAGUCUCUUGGGAAAUCUGGCAUCUCAAGUGUCAGGCUGCCAGGGGAUACUGGUCGGCUUGGGACCGGGAGAGGUGAGAGGUACCUCGGGGGUAGGGGUGAAAUCUCGUAAUCCUCGAGGGACCACCAGUGGCGAAGGCGUCUCACCAGAACGGAUCCGACGGCAAGGGACGAAAGCUAGGGGCACGAACCGGAUUAGAUACCCGGGUAGUCCUAGCCGUAAACGAUACUCGCUAGGUGUCGGCCACGGUGCGACCGUGGUCGGUGCCGUAGGAAGCCGUGAAGCGAGCCACCUG